RNAcentral lists this ribosomal RNA (253 nucleotides) under uncultured bacterium. Its description in RNAcentral is "partial 16S ribosomal RNA". It matches the Rfam family "Bacterial small subunit ribosomal RNA", at positions 524 to 776 of the family's 1533-position model. The record is from RNAcentral.
UACGAAGGGGGCUAGCGUUGCUCGGAAUCACUGGGCGUAAAGGGUUCGUAGGCGGUGCGGAAAGUUGGGAGUGAAAUCUCUGGGCUUAACCCAGAGGCUGCUUUCAAAACUUCCGUGCUCGAGUGCGAGAGAGGUCAGUGGAAUUGCAGGUGUAGCGGUGAAAUGCGUAGAUAUCUGCAGGAACACCCGUGGCGAAGGCGGCUGACUGGAUCGCAACUGACGCUGAGGAACGAAAGCUAGGGGAGCAAACAGG